Pantherophis guttatus is the source of this 486-nucleotide non-coding RNA. The record is from RefSeq and is a predicted model, not a curated record. NCBI's taxonomy places the organism in Eukaryota, Metazoa, Chordata, Lepidosauria, Squamata, Colubridae.
GGACGCCCCGCGCGGUCACAUGACCGGCUCUUCGCGCCACUUUCGUAAAUCUGCCUUUUCUCCCCCCAAUCCCAGCCUUUCGCUCCGGAGCUCCAAGAGAUGUCCAUGUUCUUGAGUAGUUAGAUGAAUAUCCAGCCUUUUCUCCAGAAGACCCAAGAGAAGUACGUAGCUUGGCCUCCUCCACUUCUCCUCCACCACAAGAACCUGAUGAGCUACUUUUGACAGGACACAGCAGCUCUCCUCAGAGGAAACCCUCCCGAGCAGUGGCCCUUCGUUGGCCAAAGGAAGAUGGCCAAGAGCUUCUGGACUGUGAGGCAAGCCAUUGGUGGCACAAAAGUGCUUAUAGUGCAGUGGUGGAAAUACGGCAAAAAGGAGUCGGAAUGAACUGUUUGGCAGAAUUCACUCUCUGCAGGUGGAGAGAGUUUGGAUGCCCGUUCACAUCUUCGGCCGGUGCCUCUGCGCUUCUGCUGUGCCACUCCUGGGACC